RNAcentral lists this ribosomal RNA (218 nucleotides) under uncultured bacterium. Its description in RNAcentral is "partial 16S ribosomal RNA". It matches the Rfam family "Bacterial small subunit ribosomal RNA", at positions 1283 to 1500 of the family's 1533-position model. The record is from RNAcentral.
CAGUCUCAGUUCAGAUUGUAGGCUGAAACUCGCCUAUAUGAAGUCGGAAUUGCUAGUAAUCGCGGAUCAGCAUGCCGCGGUGAAUACGUUCCCGGGCCUUGUACACACCGCCCGUCACACCAUGAGAGUCGAUAACACCCGAAGCCUGUAGUCUAACCGUAAGGGGGACGCAGUCGAAGGUGGGAUUGAUAAUUAGGGUGAAGUCGUAACAAGGUAGC